UACGUAGGGGGCAAGCGUUGUCCGGAUUUAUUGGGCGUAAAGAGCGUGUAGGCGGUUUGGUAGGUCCGCUGUGAAAACUCGAGGCUCAACCUCGAGACGCCGGUGGAAACCAUCAGACUAGAGUCCGGAAGAGGAGAGUGGAAUUCCUGGUGUAGCGGUGGAAUGCGCAGAUAUCAGGAGGAACACCAAUGGCGAAGGCAGCACUCUGGUACGUGACUGACGCUGAGACGCGAAAGCGUGGGGAGCAAACAGG
This 253-nucleotide ribosomal RNA is filed under the name uncultured bacterium. RNAcentral describes it as "partial 16S ribosomal RNA". It matches the Rfam family "Bacterial small subunit ribosomal RNA", at positions 524 to 776 of the family's 1533-position model. The record is from RNAcentral.